Molecule: long non-coding RNA, 134 nt
Organism: Etheostoma spectabile (orangethroat darter)
Lineage: Eukaryota; Metazoa; Chordata; Actinopteri; Perciformes; Percidae
Exons: 3
Source: RefSeq, a predicted model, not a curated record
CACGCUGCUGUCUUUCUAGCUGGUCAUGACCGAAAAAACGCGAUCAAGGGUACACGCGGCCGAAAUGGGUUUCCUCAGGAGGGUGGCUGGCGUCUCCCUUAGAGAUAGGGUGAGAAGCUCAGUCAUCCGAGAGG